Long non-coding RNA from Ornithodoros turicata, 391 nucleotides. RefSeq lists it as uncharacterized. The transcript has 3 exons. Lineage: Eukaryota; Metazoa; Arthropoda; Arachnida; Ixodida; Argasidae. The record is from RefSeq and is a predicted model, not a curated record.
UGGAUAACACUUCUUCCCACAGAUGUUAGUUACAGUUGUAGUCUCAGGAGAUACAGAAGGAGAUGAUCAAGCUCUUGGUGCUUGUGCUUUGCGUGAGUGCACUGGUCGAGGCAGGGUGGACACGUGAACGUAGGCGUUUCGUCGAAGAACAGGAGUGCACCACGUCAGCAGCGGGACAUGUGUUCUGCGACAGAUACUGCAGGAAAGCUGUGGACGCUGGUGGAGGCGGUUGCAGUCAUGGAGUCUGCGUGUGUUCCUCGUACUGAAUCGCCACCACACCAGAAUCUGAGCUGUAGAGGAUAACACGAGGAUUCACGAAGAACAGUGCAAUUGACGGAGGCGAUGACGAUAAUUAUAGGAAGCACAGUUCAAUUAAAACACAUCAAAUGCA